This 74-nucleotide transfer RNA is filed under the name Nocardia otitidiscaviarum. RNAcentral's name for it is "tRNA-Gly". It matches the Rfam family "tRNA". From Rfam's summary of the family: Transfer RNA (tRNA) molecules are approximately 80 nucleotides in length. Their secondary structure includes four short double-helical elements and three loops (D, anti-codon, and T loops). RNAcentral also lists the same sequence under 8 other names. The record is from RNAcentral. Lineage: Bacteria; Bacillati; Actinomycetota; Actinomycetes; Mycobacteriales; Nocardiaceae.
GCCGGUGUAGUUUAGUGGUAGAACAUCAGCUUCCCAAGCUGAGAGUGCGGGUUCGAUUCCCGUCACCGGCUCCA